This 4960-nucleotide long non-coding RNA is filed under the name Sus scrofa (pig). RNAcentral describes it as "lncRNA (ENSSSCG00000049654.1)". The record is from RNAcentral. Lineage: Eukaryota; Metazoa; Chordata; Mammalia; Artiodactyla; Suidae.
CAGUAAUAUUUUAAGAUCAAUUAUUUGCUUCCUACUGAGUGUUAUGCAGAGUUGGUUUGACCUCAGAUGGUUGGCUGUGAAGGUCAGGGUGACAGCUGCUCCUAUGACCUUUAAAGAAAUCAGUACAAAGAUUUCCUGGGGAAUCAGCACCUACCUGUGCCUUCAUGUAUCAUCUUUCCUGUGACUGUCCCUGACAACAAAGAUCCAUUUCCUUACUGGUCCACAGCUUGUGUGUCACAAUAUCUAUUUGACCAUAUUGUGACUGUAAUUAUUAUUUCUUUUUGACUCAGCUAAUUGUGUUAGCAGUGUUUUCCUCUUCCUUGCUCUGUAAAAAGUCCCUCAGAUGGUGUUUAACAAGAGUGCAUGUAACAAGAAACAAAUUGUUUCUGGGGAGUGCUAUUUACCUUUUUUAUUUUCUGCUUUGUUAGCAACGCAGAGGUUUCAUUAGCAAGGAACAAAUGAAUAGCAAAGACAGCUAAUCUUAUACGUGCAUACGCACGCACACAUACACACACAAUAGAUAGAGAACACAACCACACAUCUUCGCAUAAAGAAGAAGAAAAGAAUGAAAUGUGCACUUGGGCUAAUGGGGCUUAUUGUUACAUCAUUAUUUGACUAGAUUAAACUCUUAGUAAUUGGUGGUCCAAUCACAUAAUGGAGUUCUGUAUUUUCCCCGAUGAAAAAAAAAAAAUGGAGCCAGUGCUUCACAAAUGUGGUGAGAUUGAGCCCUACAGCACUUCCAUGGGCUCAAAAAGCCCAUGCAUUCCCAUCAGAGGGAUAUCUUGGACUUAGAACCAUGGAUAAGUAUAAACAAAGCUUGGAUUAUGAGGCUUAAUCUAUCCAAAAUUUCCACAGGAAAGGCAGAAACACUCAGAAAUGUAUAUGCAAUGAUUAAGGCUCUUUGAGAGACAUUGCUCAGUGUUGAAAACAUACCUGCCCCUCAAUACUGAACUAAAUGCCCAGAGAACAUUUAAGUAGAAAUGUAGUACAUCCCAGAAAUCUCAGCUGAUGUGGAAGGAAGAAUGCAGUAUCAGGCAAUGGAAGAAAGAACUUAUAUGAGUUCUAAUAGGAGGUAGUCUGGAGAGGCUCUCCUUUACUAGGGCCCAUUGCAGUCAGCAGGUAUAAGACUCUGAGUUACCCUAGUGCUAUUUCUCCCAAGGUUUUGAAGGAAUGUCCCAUUGAGUGCAGAAAGAAUUUAAAAUCUACCAGACAAAGCCAAAGGAAGAAAUUCAGUAAGCUGAUAUACAGCAGAAGUAUUCAAGUCAAAACUAUUGACUCCUAGCCAAGAUGAUUUCUAAUAGAAAUUAGGAUGAAGAAGAUUUCAGUUCAUCACGAAAAAAAAAAAAAAUGCUAAAAAUUAAAAGACUCUUCAAUAAUGGAAUGAGUUUUCUUAGGGUGAGUUUCUCAUUGCUAUAAAGAUAAAGCAAAGGCUGGAUGACUGUUAAAUAUCUGCUCAUUAAUUCCUUCAGACAUGCAUUUAUUUAACAAAUAUUUAUGACUCCUGCUUUAUGUGUCAGGGGAUGUUAAGCUAGAAACAUCAAAGAUAUAUUCAACUCAAAAAAUCUUAUAAAAAAUUCUAAGUUGAGGGCAAGAAUUGCAAAUGUAUGAAUUAACCAAUAACAUCCGAGGCGACUAAAUGUGUGUGUCUUAAAUACCUGGGCUGUCUACACUUUUACCACUCAGAUGAUUUACAUCCAGUCCAUGUAUUAGGGUAAAAAUCUACACAGUACCCCAAUCUUCUAACUUGUGGUUUCCUUUUCAUCUUUAUCUUAUUGUUCAGUAGUUACUUUUCCAGACAAAUUGAGUCAGGAACAUUGCUUUGGUGCUCUCGUUUGCAUGGAAAGUUGUCAGGCCUGAUCUGACCUGCCUUUCCAUCAGGAUUAUAAAGGUGACGGAUAGUCAAUUUCAAGGAUUCAUGAUCCAUUUUACCACGGUGCUUCACCUUGCAGCUAAGUAAUACAGCUGUGAUAAAAUCAGCCAUAAUCACUGCAUCUUACUCAGCCCUGCCAUGGCUAUAAAUACUCGUUUCAUAACAAAGAAAAAAGCAAAUGGAACAAAAGGGGAGCUAGAAGAAAGAUGAAGGCAAAUGUGAAGGUUUAUUUCUAGUGACUAAUGGGAGAAUGUGUUUAUAGUUUUUUACCCUGUUCAUUUUUCCGUACAGCAAAUGGGAACAUACAUCACAUGAUCAAAGACAUUUACUUGUUGAUUCAUCAAACAUAAAUCAAUCAUAAGCACUUUAUUAAGUAUUUAUAUGCACUUUGAUUAUUAUUAGCAUUAUACAUAUGGGGCAGUUUAAUAAUUCCAGGCAUGAAGACCUCAACAUUUAAUAUAAACACAUGUGUAUGUACAUGAACAUAUAACAGACCUCCUUUGGGAACAGAUAUACAGAUUAUGAUAUUAAUAGGUGAGAAAGAAGUCAAAAUUAUUUUACUCAUUUAUUUUUGAACCCCACCUGUUAUUGAUGUUAAAGGUAAAGCAAUGAUGGAAGCAGAGAAAAAGCAAGCCCUUAAAAACUUACAUUUUAGAGAAGGGAGACAGAAAACAGAACAACAAAAUAAAGAUCUGUAGUAUGUUAAGAGUGAUGAGACAAAAAAAAUAAUACAGAAGGGAGGGGUGCAGAAAUAGUCAGGCAUGGGAAAAAUUUUCAAAUAUACUGACUGAUAUUUUAGGCACCUUCCUGAUAGUUGAGCAAAAGGCUUGAAGAAUAAGCCAUCCAGAUGCUCGGGAGGUGAAAUAUCAUGUUCAAAGAAUUUAGGAAGGAGGGUGCUUAGUGUGUGUGAAGAUACGUGAAGAGGCUGCUGUGGCCCAUGCAGCCUGAGUAAGGGAGAAAUAAGGCCAGAGAGUCAACAGCAGUCUGGAUAGGAAGGGCCCCCAGAGCACUUCCUAAGGACUUGAGCUUUUUCUCUUAGACCAUUGGAGUCUUCAAGUAGAAAAGUAACAAGCUCUGACCUCAGUGCUGAAAUGAUUAUUCUGGUUGCUCUGGGAAGAAUAUAGUUAAAGGCAAGAAAGAAGGCAAGGGGCCGGGUUAGAAGACUAUUGUAAUUUGCCAGACUAGUGUAGAUGCUGACCCUGAUCAUACCACAUUUAACCUCAGCAGCAAGAGGAAGGAUCUGCCAUCCUUCCUUGGAUAGGGAGGAAUGAGGGAAAGUUUGAAGAGUAGCAGCUUGAUUUUAGGCAUGUUAAGUUUGAAGUUCCUCUCAGGCAUCAAGGUGGAGAUGUCAAAUCAGGAAUGGGAUAUAUGAGAUGGGAGUCCAAGGUAAGGGUCUAGGCUGAAGGUUCAAAUCUAGGAGUCGUCAACAUAUUCAAGCCACAAGACUGGAUGAGAUAACCUAGGUUGUGGACAGAAAAGAGAAGUCCAGGACAGAGCCAGCUUUUAGAGAUUCUCUUCUGGAAUUUGUAAUUGACCAGCUCUGUAUCUUAAUGAUACAAAAUCAUCCUAGUGACUCUGUAAGUCAUUAACCCCUGUAGUUCUAAAUUUUUUUAAGGUAUGCCUAUAUGAUGGGAAAAAUUUGGGGAGUGGUACAAAUAACCUAGGUGUGGUAACAUUAAUAACAGUAGCAACAUGAAUAGCAACAAGGAAAAAGCUCUUAUUUAUCACCUAUUUACUAGAUGUGAAGUCCUAUGCUAGGCAUUCCAUGUAUGCUUGCUUUCUGAACUGCCUCAAUUCUGAAGGUGUGGAAUUAUUCCCACUAUUAUCUCCAUUCUGCAGUUGUGGAAACAAAGGUUUUGAAAGUUGAAGAUGUCCUAAAGAUCAUACAUAGAGCAAGGUUUACCCAAUUUCAAAGCUGGUCCUCUUAAUCAAGGAAACUCCAAUCUAAUGAUGUUCCUUUUCAUAGGCCUUCUGGGAAUUCUUUCCAUUUUUGCCUGUAAGAAUUUUUUUUUUUUCUGGGCCACAGGUGAAACAUAUGGAAGUUCCAAGGCUAGGGAUAAAAUUGGAGCUACAGCUGCUAGCCUAUGCCACAGCUGCAGCAACGCCAAGUCCAAACCACGUCUACAACCUACGCCACAGCUCAUGGCAAUGACAGAUCCAUAAUCUGGGCCAGGGAUCAAACCUGCAUCCUCAUGAAUACUAGUUGGGUUCAUUUCCACAGAGCAACAAUUGGAACUCCCAGUGAGGAUUAUUUCUGUGCUUCAACUUCAUCCAAACCCUUUCAAACUAUGAAAGAGCUUCACUUUGAGAUUGUACAAUGUCAGGUGGGAAAGGGAGAGGGAUUUUAACCUGAUAGGCAGAUUAGAAUUUGGAUCUGCUUACUUGCUAUGCAAUUAUGGGGAACUUAAUUUCUCUGAGUGCUGGAUUCCUCAUCUGCAAAAUGGGACUAAUAACACAUACCUAAAUGGCAUUUAACCACAGGAGGACGUGAGGAUUAAAAGGAGGCAUACGUGGUUGGUAUAGUGCCUGGAACAGGGUAGACACAAUAAAAGUGGUUAGUGCUGCUGUUAUUAUAUACAUCAUUAUUUGAGUUCCCUUCCACCUAGUCACCAUUUUCUCCAAGUACUGUGCUCCACCUGGUUGCACUUCAUCUGCUAGGAAAAGCUGGAUUUGCCCUCUUCCUCUGCCCUCUAGAAAUCUGCUACCCCCACCCCCACUUGGGUGGUUUCCAGAUCUGUCUGCAUGCAACUCACGCUUUUGUUUCCCAUUAUGCCUGCUAUUAUGGCAUCUUUCAUCUUAUAAGAAACUCUAAGUGUGUUAUAAAUCCUUAUAACCAAACCAUGAGGCAGAUUGACUUGGUUAUAGAACACAUUACAGGGAGAAGCAAGGUCUUCAUCAUUGUUUUCUUCAAUCUCGACUAUUUACUGAAUUUAUAUUAUAUAUUGGGUACUCAGAAAACAUAACACACAGCACCAACAUUACCAUGGUCCUCUAGAAGCAUCUAUUUUAAACACGUCUCCUAAGUCUCAUGUCACUGAGUUCAGGGUCCCUUCCUUGCUGCUCCACCUGCAUACCCAAUCAAAUAGCUUC